AUACGGAGGGUCCAAGCGUUAUCCGAAUUCAUUGGGUUUAAAGGGUCCGCAGGCGGGAAAAUAAGUCAGUGGUGAAAGCCUACAGCUCAACUGUAGAACUGCCAUUGAUACUGUUUUUCUUGAGUAUAGAUGAAGUGGGCGGAAUAUAUCAUGUAGCGGUGAAAUGCAUAGAUAUGAUAUAGAACACCGAUUGCGAAGGCAGCUCACUAAACUAUUACUGACGCUCAGGGACGAAAGCGUGGGGAGCGAACAGGAUUAGAAACCCUAGUAGUCC
RNAcentral lists this ribosomal RNA (274 nucleotides) under uncultured bacterium. RNAcentral describes it as "partial 16S ribosomal RNA". It matches the Rfam family "Bacterial small subunit ribosomal RNA", at positions 523 to 796 of the family's 1533-position model. The record is from RNAcentral.